GAUGAACGCUGGCGGCGUGCCUAAUACAUGCAAGUCGAGCGAACAGAUGAGGAGCUUGCUCCUCUGACGUUAGCGGCGGACGGGUGAGUAACACGUGGAUAACCUACCUAUAAGACUGGGAUAACUUCGGGAAACCGGAGCUAAUACCGGAUAAUAUAUUGAACCGCAUGGUUCAAUAGUGAAAGACGGUUUUGCUGUCACUUAUAGAUGGAUCCGCGCCGCAUUAGCUAGUUGGUAAGGUAACGACUUACCAAGGCAACGAUGCGUAGCCGACCUGAGAGGGUGAUCGGCCACACUGGAACUGAGACACGGUCCAGACUCCUACGGGAGGCAGCAGUAGGGAAUCUUCCGCAAAGGGCGAAAGCCUGACGGAGCAACGCCGCGUGAGUGAUGAAGGUCUUCGGAUCGUAAAACUCUGUUAUUAGGGAAGAACAAAUGUGUAAGUAACUAUGCACGUCUUGACGGUACCUAAUCAGAAAGCCACGGCUAACUACGUG
RNAcentral lists this ribosomal RNA (497 nucleotides) under uncultured bacterium. RNAcentral describes it as "partial 16S ribosomal RNA". It matches the Rfam family "Bacterial small subunit ribosomal RNA", at positions 28 to 507 of the family's 1533-position model. The record is from RNAcentral.